CGUCUAACUUGGGGAAUACAUUUUUCAUGUUGGUUGUUUGCAGCAGCAGCAGUGGAGCAGACAGCAUUGGAGGGAAGUUGCUUUCUAUAAACCCCUCACCUCAGUGACCAGCUACAGAGGAGAUGGGUUCCCAGCCCAGAUAAAUGGCGGCACCGGUGUCACCACUCGCAGCAGAGCUUGCAUCCCUUCGGCCCCGCCUCCUGAGAACGGGUCCCUUUCAGCCGGUCCCCAGGCCUCGAGACCCGAGAGCCGGAUGGAGACACCUCCCCGACACCCAGGGCACCGAGCGGUCCAGCAGGAAUAAGCCAACGGUUGCUGCCUGGUAUUUGAACAUCAUUUAAUGAGGGCCCAGAAUUCAUCUGUAAAUGUGCUUUGUUAAUUUAGGGCCUGCUCUUCAUUAAUUAGGGCUUUAGUGGCAAGUGCCACUGCGCUAUCUGCAAUGUUUAAGGGUGCGUCAAGCCUUAGUAAACGGCUUGCUGAUAACAAGCCGCAUCCAUCUUCGUUACUCAGCCACUCCUGUCUGACUUUGCUCAGCAUCUUCGAAGCGCCAGGCCUCUUGGAACUGAAGAAUUAAACUUUUAUCCAAACCAGAUUCUGCUCUUUCACCCCUCUGAUUCCUUGAGUACUUCCCAUUUAUUUUGCCUAAAUGACAUCUGAUUACCUAACAUGGAGUGGAGCGAGGUCUUAACCUAAAACAGCCUGCAGACCUCAGUUCUCAGCCGGAGAAUUCCGGGGGGUUAGCGCCCAGGAAAUCCUUACACUUCCAUUUCAUCCGAUCCUGGGCUCAGCGUAAGAGAAACAGUUUCUGACUUUUCUUCUCAUAAGGUUGCAGUUCCAAUAGAUUUUUUUUCUUUUAAAGCCGGAGAAAUACAGGAAAUUAAUUUUAAACCUGGAGAAUAAAUGUCCCAAUUGGUUCGAGUUUACUUUUGCUGUUUCUCUCUCUGAAAACAUGUAUCAUUUGAGGCAAUCACGGUGCCAAAUGAAAGAAUUCCAACCGUCUAGAGAGUCCUCCACGUCGAACCUCAGCUGUGCAAACGCCGUCGUGUCGGUGGCCAGAGGGGCUCGGAACCCCCCUCCCCUUUCGAGGCCCACAGCUCAAGCAGGCAGCAGGGCAGGCGUUUAGGCAGAUACUGCUCUUAAGAAAAGGUCUCAGUAACACGUUUGUUUAUCCUUUAAGCACUAGGUUAGAGGAUUGCGUGAAAACUAACCUCCACUGACAGAGGGUCUCCGUAAGUCGUGAUCCUGAGAAACGAGAGAGCUACUUGUUUGGCUGUUUCACACAUUAGGGGGUUCGCGGGGGAGCGCCUACUGCUCCCCUGAACCACAGUUCAAUUUUAAGCAUCGCUGGCCGGAUGGGUUAUUUUAACGAUGUCAGGAAGUGAGCUGGAGAGCCGGGUGCUCAGGGCGGGCGAGGGCGAGGGCGAGGGGAGCAGGAGAGUGAUAGCCCGAGGGAGGGUGUCUGCAAACCCCUGCACCGCUGAGCUGGUGCACUUAUCACAGGGCGCCAGUCUAUACGGCGGGCGGGCCUGCGGUGCAUGGCUGCUUGUGGUGCAUGCUGCCAAUUGACUUAGAAAAUGCAGAUGCCCUUCUCAGAUAGAGAGAGC
This 1604-nucleotide long non-coding RNA is filed under the name Sus scrofa (pig). The record is from RNAcentral. Lineage: Eukaryota; Metazoa; Chordata; Mammalia; Artiodactyla; Suidae.